Molecule: long non-coding RNA, 103 nt
Organism: Mizuhopecten yessoensis (Yesso scallop)
Lineage: Eukaryota; Metazoa; Mollusca; Bivalvia; Pectinida; Pectinidae
Exons: 3
Source: RefSeq, a predicted model, not a curated record
UGUAGUGUAUCUGUCAUCUAUAAAAUAACAAAAAUAUAACAAUUCUACUAAAAACAUUUUCUGACUGACAUAUAUUAUCUACACAGUUUUCAUUUACAUAUUU